AUGUUGUUAAAGUUCCCCAGGCGAUUUUAAUGUGCAGUCAGGGAUGAGAACCACUGAUUUAAGAAAUCAGCACCUGAAAAUCGAGCUUAAGUAGCAUAGCAACAUCCCUGUACCCUCCGGGGCAGUAUUUCUCAAAAAAGGAGGAUGUGGACCAUCUAAACUGCUGGAUAUUCUUACAAUGGUCCCGGGAAGAAGACAUGACAAUCUGACUGCAGCCAUGAUAUAAGCUGCUCCAUGUUGAGCAGUACUGAAUGUGUGGCUAGCACAAUCCCAAGAACUGGCCUCAAGGGAAUGGCAUUAACAUUACUACUCUAUAUCUUUGUAGGUAUCAUCAUAAUUGUAGCUUGCUCUGUCUGUAUGUGUAAGGGGGCAACGAAAACAGUCAGCAAAGAGAUGCUCUAGACCCAUGUUGACAUAGUCCACUCUGAGAAUACAGUGCCCUGUCUCAGGAUGAAGUCACAGAAGAUAGAACGUCACCCCUAAUCCCACAGAAAUGGACUGAUGUUCUGACAAGUGGGGAUUUGUCAGCAGCUCUAUGCAGGAAACCAGCCUCAGCAGGAAGCCCCUUUUCUUGUUUAAGAAAGGUAUAUUGUAACUAACUUUUAAAGCAAGCACGCCCAUGCUCUACUCCUCUCCAGCCCAAGCACAUCUUUCAAAUCUUUUGAUCACUCAAUACCUGGCCUAACUUGUUGGUUCUUUCCUUAGAUCAAAGAAACAGAAAUAAAGAAUAAGUAAUUAACAGAUGACCAGGUCUCUCCCUUAGCUUCCCCUUCAGUAAUCUCCUGAACAAACUGUGUGAUCAGACUGUGAAUAAGAUAAGAUCUAGAGGCCGAUCACAGGCCUGCUCACAGCAGGGGACAAGGACUCUGAACCUCUGUGUCAAUGAUUAUCUGACAUUAAAAGCUUUCAAGACUGAA
Long non-coding RNA from Odocoileus virginianus texanus, 917 nucleotides. RefSeq lists it as uncharacterized. NCBI's taxonomy places the organism in Eukaryota, Metazoa, Chordata, Mammalia, Artiodactyla, Cervidae. The record is from RefSeq and is a predicted model, not a curated record.